This 494-nucleotide ribosomal RNA is filed under the name uncultured bacterium. RNAcentral's name for it is "partial 16S ribosomal RNA". It matches the Rfam family "Bacterial small subunit ribosomal RNA", at positions 28 to 507 of the family's 1533-position model. The record is from RNAcentral.
GACGAACGCUGGCGGCGUGCUUAACUCAUGCAAGUCGAACGGUGAAGCGCCCUCCUUUUUGGUGGGUGUGGAUGAGUGGCGAACGGGUGAGUAACACGGGAGUAACCUGCCCCGUUCUUCUGGAUAACCGCAUGAAAGAGUGGCUAAUACGGGAUCUUCUGGGUCUGUCGCAUGAUGGGGUUGGGCGUGAUAUUGUUUCGGUGGGGGAUGGGCCCGCGGCCUAGCAUGUUGUCGGGGGGGUGAUGGCCUGCGAAGGCGGGGACGGGUAGCCGGCCUGAUAGAGUGGACCGUCACACUGGGAGUGUGACACGGUCAGGACUCCUACUGGAGGCAUCAGUGGAGAAUAUUGCACAGUGAGCGCGGGCCUGAUGCAGCGACGCCGCGUGAGGGAUGGAGGCCUUCGGGUUGUGACCCUCUUUCGCUAGUGAAGCAGGCCUGCCUCGUUUGUGGGUGGGUUGACGGUAGCUGGAUAAGAAGCGCCGGCUAACUACGUG